This 427-nucleotide ribosomal RNA is filed under the name uncultured bacterium. Its description in RNAcentral is "partial 16S ribosomal RNA". It matches the Rfam family "Bacterial small subunit ribosomal RNA", at positions 355 to 774 of the family's 1533-position model. The record is from RNAcentral.
UGGGGAAUAUUGGACAAUGUGCGAAAGCCUGAUCCAGCCAUGCCGCGUGUGUGAAGAAGGUCUUCGGAUUGUAAAGCACUUUAAGUUGGGAGGAAGGGCAUUAACCUAAUACGUUAGUGUUUUGACGUUACCGACAGAAUAAGCACCGGCUAACUCUGUGCCAGCAGCCGCGGCAAUACAGAGGGUGCAAGCGUUAAUCGGAAUUACUGGGCGUAAAGCGCGCGUAGGUGGUUUGUUAAGUUGGAUGUGAAAUCCCCGGGCUCAACCUGGGAACUGCAUUCAAAACUGACUGACUAGAGUAUGGUAGAGGGUGGUGGAAUUUCCUGUGUAGCGGUGAAAUGCGUAGAUAUAGGAAGGAACACCAGUGGCGAAGGCGACCACCUGGACUAAUACUGACACUGAGGUGCGAAAGCGUGGGGAGCAAACA